ACCUCCCUCGAAGGCUUCCAA
This 21-nucleotide microRNA is filed under the name Citrus sinensis (sweet orange). RNAcentral describes it as "csi-miR477a-5p". Its record names the gene csi-miR477a-5p. Lineage: Eukaryota; Viridiplantae; Streptophyta; Magnoliopsida; Sapindales; Rutaceae. The record is from miRBase by way of RNAcentral.